This 774-nucleotide ribosomal RNA is filed under the name uncultured Bacteroidota bacterium. Its description in RNAcentral is "bacterial SSU rRNA". It matches the Rfam family "Bacterial small subunit ribosomal RNA", at positions 163 to 953 of the family's 1533-position model. The record is from RNAcentral. Lineage: Bacteria; Pseudomonadati; Bacteroidota.
AUAAUUCCGUAUGAGGUUGGGUGGCCGCAUGGCUGUUCGACCAAAGUCUUCGGGCGGUAGGGGAUGGGCGUGCGUCCCAUUAGCUGGUUGGCGGGGUAACGGCCCACCAAGGCUUCGAUGGGUAGGGGGCGUGAGAGCGUGGCCCCCCACACGGGUACUGAGACACGGACCCGACUCCUACGGGAGGCAGCAGUAAGGAAUAUUGGUCAAUGGCGGGAACGCUGAACCAGCCAUCCCGCGUGCAGGACGAAGGCCCUCCGGGUCGUAAACUGCUUUUAAGGGGGAAGAAACGGUCGGGAUUUCCCGGCCCUGACGGUACCCCUGGAAUAAGCACCGGCUAACUCCGUGCCAGCAGCCGCGGUAAUACGGAGGGUGCGAGCGUUAUCCGGAAUCACUGGGUUUAAAGGGUGCGUAGGCGGCGCGGUAAGUCAGGGGUGAAAGCUUCCCGCUCAACGGGAGAGGUGCCCUUGAUACUGCCGGGCUUGAAUUGGGCCGAGGCCGGCGGAACGCGGCAUGUAGCGGUGAAAUGCUUAGAUAUGCCGCAGAACACCGAUUGCGAAGGCAGCCGGCCAGGCCUCGAUUGACGCUGAGGCACGAAAGCGUGGGGAGCGAACAGGAUUAGAUACCCUGGUAGCCACGCCCUAACGAUGCUACUCGACUUUGCCCUGGUUGGUGAGGUCCAAGCGAAGCGUUUAGUAACCCCCUGGGGAGUCGCCGGCACGGUGAACUCAAGGAUUGACGGGGUCGCACAGCGGUGGAGCAGUGGUUAAUUCA